AACCUUAUGGACCUGCGGGCGUAUACCUGCGGAAGGAUCAUUACAACAAGGUUCCCUGGCCCUCGAAGCUUCGGCGGAGGGGCGCUACAGCCUGACUUUAUACCCACCCUUUGCCUAUGUGUACCCCUAUUGCUUCCCUCGGCGGGCUCGCCCGCCGACAGGAACCAACUAAACCCUUUGCAUUAUACAUUUAACACUUCCGAUACAAAACCAAAUUAUUACAACUUUUAACAACGGAUC
RNAcentral lists this unclassified non-coding RNA (240 nucleotides) under soil metagenome. RNAcentral describes it as "partial contains 5.8S ribosomal RNA, internal transcribed spacer 2, and large subunit ribosomal RNA". The record is from RNAcentral.